This 612-nucleotide ribosomal RNA is filed under the name Glomus sp. MS. RNAcentral describes it as "SSU rRNA". It matches the Rfam family "Eukaryotic small subunit ribosomal RNA", at positions 644 to 1255 of the family's 1831-position model. The record is from RNAcentral. Lineage: Eukaryota; Fungi; Glomeromycota; Glomeromycetes; Glomerales; Glomeraceae.
GGAUCAAUACGUCGGUCGUGCUUUUUUAGUACGCACUGGCGUCAUUGGUUUCUCCUUUCUGACGAACCAUGAUGUCAUUAAUUUGGUGUUAUGGGGAAUCAGGACUGUUACUUUGAAAAAAUUAGAGUGUUUAAAGCAGGCAUUAGCUUGAAUACAUUAGCAUGGAAUAAUGAAAUAGGACGUUCGAUCCUAUUUUGUUGGUUUCUAGGAUCGACGUAAUGAUUAAUAGGGAUAGUUGGGGGCAUUAAUAUUCAAUUGUCAGAGGUGAAAUUCUUGGAUUUAUUGAAGACUAACUACUGCGAAAGCAUUUGCCAAGGAUGUUUUCAUUAAUCAAGAACGAAAGUUAGGGGAUCGAAGACGAUCAGAUACCGUCGUAGUCUUAACCAUAAACUAUGCCGACUAGGGAUCGGAUGAUGUUAAUUUUUUAAUGACUCAUUCGGCGCCUUACGGGAAACCAAAGUGUUUGGGUUCCGGGGGGAAUAUGGUCGCAAGGCUGAAACUUAAAGGAAUUGGCGGAAGGGCACCACCAGGGGUGGAGCCUGCGGCUUAAUUUGACUCAACACGGAGAAACUCACCAGGUCCAGACAUAGUAAGGAUUGACAGAUUGAGAGC